Molecule: signal recognition particle RNA, 264 nt
Filed under: Rossellomorea aquimaris
Lineage: Bacteria; Bacillati; Bacillota; Bacilli; Caryophanales; Bacillaceae
Also listed under: 8 other names
Description: Bacillus aquimaris signal recognition particle sRNA large type
Rfam family: Bacterial large signal recognition particle RNA
About the family: The signal recognition particle (SRP) is a universally conserved ribonucleoprotein involved in the co-translational targeting of proteins to membranes. Archaeal SRP consists of a 7S RNA and homologues of the eukaryotic SRP19 and SRP54 proteins. In most bacteria, the SRP consists of a 4.5S RNA and the Ffh protein (a homologue of the eukaryotic SRP54 protein).
Source: RNAcentral
CCGUGCUAGGUGGGGAGGUAGCGGUGCCCUGUACUCGCAAUCCGCUCUAGCGAGACCGAAUUCCUUUCCGAGGCUGGCACUCUGUAGGGCUGCCUCAAGUAAGUGGUGUUGACGCCUGGGUCCUGCGCAAUGGGAAUCCAUGAACCAUGUCAGGUCCGGAAGGAAGCAGCAUUAAGUGGAAGCUCCCAUGUGCCGCAGGGUUGCCUGGGCCGAGCUAACUGCUUGAGUAACGCCUAUGGAUGCUUGUCGACGAAAGGUGCACGG